AGGCUAAAUACUCAUCAUCGACCGAUAGUGAACCAGUACCGUGAGGGAAAGGCGAAAAGAACCCCGGGAGGGGAGUGAAAUAGAUCCUGAAACCGCAUGCUUACAAAAAGUAGGAGCCCGCAAGGGUGACUGCGUACCUUUUGUAUAAUGGGUCAGCGACUUACAUUCAGUGGCAAGGUUAACCGAAUAGGGGAGCCGUAGAGAAAUCGAGUCCGAAUAGGGCGUCCAGUCGCUGGGUGUAGACC
Molecule: ribosomal RNA, 245 nt
Filed under: Klebsiella pneumoniae
Lineage: Bacteria; Pseudomonadati; Pseudomonadota; Gammaproteobacteria; Enterobacterales; Enterobacteriaceae
Description: partial 23S ribosomal RNA
Rfam family: Bacterial large subunit ribosomal RNA
Source: RNAcentral